Molecule: RNA transcript, 3829 nt
Organism: Maylandia zebra (zebra mbuna)
Lineage: Eukaryota; Metazoa; Chordata; Actinopteri; Cichliformes; Cichlidae
Source: RefSeq, a predicted model, not a curated record
AAAUCAUUAAAAAAAAUCCAACCAACUGAAAAACAAUAAUUAAAAAUAAUACCUGUAUAUUACUGCAUAAUAAUUAAAUGAAAUAAAACUUUACUACUGUUCGUAACAUUAAAAUUUUAAAGUGAUCCACUAAAAGCGAAUUAUUUUUUUUCCAUAAAUCUUCAAUUUCCCUCAAUAAACGACAACAAUCGUCAUCAUCAUCAUGAGGCUGUCAGAUCCCGGCAGGUGUUCGGUUCCCUCCGUUAAUCGUUUAGCUAUGAUCGGUGAUCGAUCCUGCGUGCGCAGCCCCGCCUCCCGCCGUGUUGUCUGACCGGAGGAUGAGGAGUCUUUAGGAGGCUAACAGCUAACGUCACGGAGCGGCGGCACCGGGAUCGUUUCUCUCGUUCCUUCAUGUUCUGACGUCGUCCAGCGGAGCCUUCGCCGUCACGAACCGGACCGGACUUCACAUGUCCGCGGCUGUGCGCUGCCGGCGGCCCGGGUAGCUCUGCCGGGAGAUGCGGCAGCAGCUAGCCGUUAGCCCCGCAGCUGUUAUGUAAGAGCGGAGCGACUAGCCGCGCAGCUAACGUUAGCCGCCGCCAUGAAUGACGCGCAGCAAGAAAUGUCUCCGGACUUCGUGCUCAUGCGGCUCGUGUCCGCCGCGGAGUACGACCGGCUGGACGACCCCGACGAGCUGAUGUCCGGGGGCGGCGGGUUCGGCCCCGUCAAAGCCGUGCUGGGCCGCCGCGGCGGCGGGUUCGAUGUGGACUCUGGCGGCCCUUCGGCAGGCCUCGGCUCGGCUUCCCCGCAUUACAGCUCCCCGCUGCCCGGGAAAGGAGAGCUGAGCGGCGGGCUGGGGCUGACGCACGCCCCGUCGGGCUCCGAGGCGCCGUUGUCGCCCCCUCCGUCCGAAGACUUUGUGGACUUGCCGGUGCCGCGUGGGCACGGCUCUGCGGGGCACGGAGCGCAGCUAAUGGUGCUCCAGAACUUGCUGCGGUCCGGAGACCGGAUCCUGGAGUGCGGGCUGGAGCAGCCGCCCCCUGGCUUCCUGCAGGAGGAGGCAGAGCGACAGAGACAGCAGCUGGACCCGGUGCCGGGCACGGGUCCUGGCAGCGCGACAGCUGGUCCCGGGGGAGGAAAGGACCAGAACCCCCCCGCACAGGAAAACCUGCAGCCGCAGCAGCUGUUGCAAUGGCACCCGGUCCUGAGGCUGGGCUCCCAGGCCCCCCAGCGGGGCGUCCCGGCUCUGGACUCGGAGUCCGGGUCAGUCCUGUGCCACACACACCACCUGCUGACAGACCGGCUGGCUAAGUGGCCCCCGGGCCUGCUGGACCAAGCCCUGCGGGCGGGGCUGCUGGAGCCCAGGAAGACCUGCCCCCCCAGGUGUCAAGACCCGGUCCUGGCUCCGGCCCAGAGGCCAGUACACCCGGGCGAGGUGAGGGAAGGAAGUGGCGGGCAGGAACUGGUGCUCUCGCUUCCUCGCUGUUCCUGCCAUGGCGUCCUGGCCUCGGGGUCCGGGGGCAUCGGGCCUGGCGAGGACCCCAGCGAGACGAGCGACGCCCUGCUGGUCCUGGAGGGUCUGGGGUCAGAGGAGGUGGGGGGACUCGCGGCAGAGUCCAGGGAUGCGGAGGACACAGAGAAAACAGAGCGGGUGGUGGGUGCAGGGAUGCCUGGGGGGGCGGGGACUGUGUUCUCCAGUGGGACUCUCAGCGGGCUGAUGCGGCAGGUGCACAGACUGGCAGAGGAGGCGGGAGUGUGCACAGAUCAGAGCUGCCGGUCCUCACUCGCCGUUCUCGGCGCCACCGUGUCCCUCCCCUCCUGCGUGGACCCCCAGCCCCUCAUCGGCAGCACCGCCACCCCCUGCCCGUACCUGCCUGUCCGCCCGCCACUGUCCCAGGCUGCUGCGGUGCUCCCCGACCCCCUCCCAUCCUCUGACCCUCGCUCUCGCCCACAGCAUCAGCACCAGUCGCGCUCCCAGCCCCAGAGCCGUGCCGCUACCCCCAAACUGGGUGUGGCUUCUGGGGCAGCGGGUCGGUCAGCCUCCCCUCUGGUGGUCCUGGAGGGGGAAGGGGGUGCAGGAGGAAGGGAGGGGGAGAAGAUGCCCCGGGGGAAGUCGAGGAAGGGGGGGUCACUGAAGGUCCGGCUCAGCAAGCUAUUCAGAACCAAGAGCUCGAGUGGCGGCUCGGGGGGGCUGCUGGACAAGAGGCCGUCCCUAGCGUCGUCCACGUCGUCGGGGGGCAGCCUGUUGGACGUGUGGGGGUCCACCUGCAGCAACCCAGACCAGGAUGGCAGGCUGCAGGUAUCCAGACCUCACAGUGCCUUCUCUCCGGUGCCCUUCACUCCGGCUUUCACCGGUGAGACGGUCUCUCUGGUCGAUGUGGAUAUUUCUCGGAGGGGGGGGAACUCUCUCCACCCCCCCACUCCUCCUCCCCCUCCCAGACGGAGCCUCAGUCUGCUUGAUGAUUUUGGGGGUCCUCCUCAGCAGCACGGCCCCUUCAUGGAGCGCAGCGCCGGGGCCUCCAUGCAGUCGCUGCCCCCCCGACCGAUGGCCCUGCCCCCCUCCCUCAACACCAUCCAGCACAGCCUGAGCCUCAACGACACCUUCCUGCGAGGUUUACCUCGACCCGUCCCCCUGCGGCCCGACGGGCAGCACCCGCCCCCCGGCUCGCCCCUCGCUGCCCGCUCAGUCGACCCGAUGCCGGCAACUUCGCCACCAGCCUCAGGGAGCUGGAGAAGUGCGGCUGGUACUGGGGGCCGAUGAACUGGGAGGACGCUGAGAUGAAGCUGAAGGGGAAACCGGACGGCUCGUUUCUGGUGCGGGACAGCUCAGACCCGCGCUACAUCCUGAGUCUGAGCUUCAGGUCGCAGGGAAUCACACACCACACACGCAUGGAGCACUACAGAGGGACGUUCAGCCUGUGGUGUCACCCAAAGUUUGAGGACCGCUGUCACUCGGUGGUGGAGUUCAUCGAGCGAGCCAUCAUGCACUCCAAGAACGGAAAGUUCCUGUACUUCCUGCGCUCGCGAGUCCCAGGUCUGCCGCCGACCCCAGUCCAGCUCCUGUACCCGGUCUCCAGGUUCAGCAGUGUUAAGUCUCUGCAGCAUCUCUGUCGCUUCUGCAUCAGACAGCUGGUCCGGAUCGACCACAUCCAGGAGCUGCCGCUGCCCACGCCUCUGAUCGCCUACCUGAGGAAGUUUUAUUACUACGACCCCGAAGAGGAGAUCAGCCCCACGCUGAAGGAGGACAAGGAGCAGAAGGAGCGGGGGACGGAGGGCGGCGGCCAGCCGGGGGUCGAGUCACAAACGUAGCACCGGAGCCCGAAGCCGGCUUCUUUCCUUUUCUUUGUUUCUCGGACUCGAACACUGAAGGAUGUUCAAAAAUCAAGCUGAACUCUCAGACUUCAGCCAAUCGGCUCCCUCCGCUCAGUCCCGCAUCCGGGCGGGUUUCAGAUGAUCCACCCUCCUUUGAGCUCUCUGAUCGGCUCACGGGGAGUCGACAGGGGAGGGGCCGGGGAUGUGGAGACUCCGCCUCUCUUUUGAUGUCAUCGCUGAGCAGCCAGACGGCGAUGUUAGCUAAAAUCAGUAAAAGAGAAAGGAGCUGAGAAAGUGUCGGUCGCCUCUGGGGUCCUCUGACGAUACGAGAGGGUCUCUGAUCCCGAGAGCAGAAGGCGGUACAGAUUUAUCCCAGCUCAGAGCUCGGCGCAGCACAAAGUGUGAGAGCGUCCCCUGAAUGCACCAAAAGGUCUUUAAAUGAAUAAAACAUCACAGAAAUAAACGAAUGAUUGUACGGAGCCCCGCAGGGGACAUGGAGGAAGAAAAAAAUUAAGACGGACUUUUGCGGGACCUCGCAAAA